RNAcentral lists this transfer RNA (85 nucleotides) under Felis catus (domestic cat). It matches the Rfam family "tRNA". From Rfam's summary of the family: Transfer RNA (tRNA) molecules are approximately 80 nucleotides in length. The record is from Rfam by way of RNAcentral. Lineage: Eukaryota; Metazoa; Chordata; Mammalia; Carnivora; Felidae.
GCCUGGGUGGCUCAGUCGGUUAAGCGUCCGACUUCGGCUCAGGUCAUGAUUUGGCGGUCCGUGGGUUCGAGCCCCACGUCGGGCU